GGAAUUUUGGACAAUGGGGGCAACCCUGAUCCAGCCAUUCCGCGUGAGUGAAGAAGGCCUUCGGGUUGUAAAGCUCUUUCGCAAGGGAAGAAAACUUAUGAUCGAAUAAAUCAUGAGGUUGACGGUACCUUGAUAAGAAGCACCGGCUAACUACGUGCCAGCAGCCGCGGUAAUACGUAGGGUGCGAGCGUUAAUCGGAAUUACUGGGCGUAAAGCGUGCGCAGGCGGUUUUGUAAGUCGGAUGUGAAAUCCCCGGGCUCAACCUGGGAACUGCGUUCGAAACUGCAAGGCUAGAGUGUGUCAGAGGGGGGUAGAAUUCCACGUGUAGCAGUGAAAUGCGUAGAGAUGUGGAGGAAUACCAAUGGCGAAGGCAGCCCCCUGGGAUAACACUGACGCUCAUGCACGAAAGCGGGGGGAGCAAACAGGAUUAGAUACCCUGGUAGUCCACGCCCUAAACGAUGUCAACUAGUUGUUGGUAGAGUAAAAUCUAUGAGUAACGUAGCUAACGCGUGAAGUUGACCGCCUGGGGAGUACGGUCGCAAGAUUAAAACUCAAAGGAAUUGACGGGG
This 569-nucleotide ribosomal RNA is filed under the name uncultured bacterium. Its description in RNAcentral is "bacterial SSU rRNA". It matches the Rfam family "Bacterial small subunit ribosomal RNA", at positions 358 to 918 of the family's 1533-position model. The record is from RNAcentral.